AUGUUGGGUUAAGUCCCGCAACGAGCGCAACCCUUAAGCUUAGUUGCCAUCAUUAAGUUGGGCACUCUAAGUUGACUGCCGGUGACAAACCGGAGGAAGGUGGGGAUGACGUCAAAUCAUCAUGCCCCUUAUGAUUUGGGCUACACACGUGCUACAAUGGACAAUACAAAGGGCAGCUAAACCGCGAGGUCAAGCAAAUCCCAUAAAGUUGUUCUCAGUUCGGAUUGUAGUCUGCAACUCGACUACAUGAAGCUGGAAUCGCUAGUAAUCGUAGAUCAGCAUGCUACGGUGAAUACGUUCCCGGGUCUUGCACACACCGCCCGU
RNAcentral lists this ribosomal RNA (324 nucleotides) under uncultured bacterium. RNAcentral describes it as "bacterial SSU rRNA". It matches the Rfam family "Bacterial small subunit ribosomal RNA", at positions 1072 to 1397 of the family's 1533-position model. The record is from RNAcentral.